Long non-coding RNA from Ananas comosus (pineapple), 924 nucleotides. RefSeq lists it as uncharacterized. Lineage: Eukaryota; Viridiplantae; Streptophyta; Magnoliopsida; Poales; Bromeliaceae. The record is from RefSeq and is a predicted model, not a curated record. The transcript has 6 exons.
CGACUCCUGAAGUUGCUGGAGGGUCACUAAAGCUCAGAAAAAGGGUUUUGCACCUUCCUCACUUUCUCUCUCUAGGGUUUUUCUCUUUCUACAAAGAAAUCAAUGGUUUAAGCUUGAUUUCUUCUCCUUGCUUGAUGUUAGUUGAUUGGGAGUGCCUUGGAGCUGUUGUUGAAGGAAGAAGAAGGGGUUUUGAGGAGUGUUUCGCAUCCUUGAGCACAACAGUAGCUGGGUUGAUGCUUUGGAGAGCUGAAGUAGAGAAGGCUCUAGCCAUUGUAGAAUCAGAGGUUGGUGUUGGUUUUCAGCUCUAAUCCAGGUGAGAAGUUGAGCUGAAGCUUUGAGAAGCUUGGAAACUUAUUUUGAGCUGAGUAUAGAGACCCCUGGGAGCUGAUUUGGGUAUACUGUGACUUGUAGGAGGUGAAAUUCCAGCAGGGUUGCAGCUAGUGUGAGACCUUUUGGCUGAGAUUUUGAGGCUUACUAAGAGUUAGAUUGAAUGUAUUCUAACCUUAAGUAAAGAAGAUUCAACCUGGGUUCAAUCUUAAAUGGGAGUCUUGCCUAACUAGGGUACUUGGAGUCCUGUAGAUAUCCUCAUUCUCGGAGUUGACAAGAGGCGUUAACUGUUUGAGCCAUCCACUACGGGAGAGGCUAGGGAUCGCGGCAAGGGAGUCGUGUCUAGCUAGGCGUAGCGUGGAGUCCUACUAGGUGAUCAUUCCGCUACUAUGAUUUUGGGGUCGACGAGGGUGAUGUGUACCACUGUAUAGAGAGACUACGUACCCUUUGUAUAUAGUUUUGUGUGACACUGUGAUGUAUAUCAGUUGUAAAGAGUUGUACUUUACAGUUUUAUGCUUCUACUUUCUGUUGUUUAGUGGAGUUGUAUCAUUUAUCUGCUAGCUGUUAGUACCUUUUAUAUGUCCUAUGCUCUGAUAU